UGGAGGCCUGAGAAGGUAAGGCAGUUAUUCACUGUACUGGGCCUUAUUGGUUAUAGCCUCCAAGAUUAAAAUAGUGCAAAAGCAAACCAGGUUCCUCUCCCAACUUGAGGGGAAACAAGGCUGCUUUUGCAUACAUGGU
Molecule: small nucleolar RNA, 139 nt
Filed under: Sphenodon punctatus (tuatara)
Lineage: Eukaryota; Metazoa; Chordata; Lepidosauria; Sphenodontia; Sphenodontidae
Description: Small nucleolar RNA SNORA47 (ENSSPUG00000016130.1)
Rfam family: Small nucleolar RNA SNORA47
Source: Rfam by way of RNAcentral